Pseudophryne corroboree (corroboree frog) is the source of this 867-nucleotide long non-coding RNA. RefSeq lists it as uncharacterized. Lineage: Eukaryota; Metazoa; Chordata; Amphibia; Anura; Myobatrachidae. The transcript has 2 exons. The record is from RefSeq and is a predicted model, not a curated record.
CUAUCUGGCACAGGUCUGGUUGCUUGGCACCAGCCAACAGCACAUGAGGCACCUGGACCUGCUGUGAUUCAAACGUAGACCUGAAGUGACAGUUGGUGUCUCCCAGCGCAGAGACCUGAGAGGAGCUGCUGUAUCUGAGCCUCUUCCAACAGUCCUGUUGACCUUUCCAGAGUCCAAUUUGCGAGUAUUAUUGCUACCAUGCAAUUUUUUGUGGUUCCCCAACCUGUGACAUUUUUACCAGUCCAUCAGGCUACCAAGUACCAAUAUGUUCAUGGUGCCUCAUCCCAAAGACAUAUCGAGGGAGCUGCACAUACCUUGGACACAUAUAAUGGCAACUCUUUAAAUACUACCUGGCCACAAGUGGUUUCUGCACAGGAUUCUUUGCGUUACUAUGAGCCCCUACACCCAGUCACUGCCUGUCCUGAGGCCCUCACAAGGUAUGGCUGGCAUCAAAGGCCUCAUACAGGACCAUACUGGCCGUGUAAUUCAUUGGUGCAGACACCAUACAGCGCCCAAAGAGGCAAUAUCGAACCAAAGGAUAUGACUGGGCAUGCUCAGCACCCUGGACUGACACAGAUGCUUUAUAUUCCACCUACUGAGAGCCAGGUCACCAGGGGACAAAUGCAGCAGCAGUGGUUGUCCAGUAUGAAGAAGACAGCACCCGGCCAUAUCAAUCCUAUACCUGCAAGAUCUGUGAUGGAGUCUCUUCCCAGUGACCUCCUUUCUCCUGACUACACAGAUCCUGAUGUCUCCAUGAUGAUUGCCAGCAUGGAUUAUUUCUAUAAUGUCAGCACAUAUGAAAUCACAAAUAUGGUUGCCUCAAACACCAGCAGUGACCCAUGUAAAUAAACAUCUUAUUGUAUUUAU